RNAcentral lists this ribosomal RNA (432 nucleotides) under uncultured bacterium. RNAcentral's name for it is "partial 16S ribosomal RNA". It matches the Rfam family "Bacterial small subunit ribosomal RNA", at positions 29 to 506 of the family's 1533-position model. The record is from RNAcentral.
AAUGAACGCUGGCGGCAGGCCUAACACAUGCAAGUCGAGCGAGCAUUUCGGUGCUAGCGGCGGACGGGUGAGUAACGCGUGGGAACGUGCCCUUUUCUGCGGAAUAGUCCUGGGAAACUGGGGGUAAUACCGCAUACGCCCUUUUGGGGAAAGAUUUAUCGGAGAAGGAUCGGCCCGCGUUGGAUUAGGUAGUUGGUGGGGUAAUGGCCCACCAAGCCGACGAUCCAUAGCUGGUUUGAGAGGAUGAUCAGCCACACUGGGACUGAGACACGGCCCAGACUCCUACGGGAGGCAGCAGUGGGGAAUCUUAGACAAUGGGGGCAACCCUGAUCUAGCCAUGCCGCGUGAGUGAUGAAGGCCUUAGGGUUGUAAAGCUCUUUCAGCUGGGAAGAUAAUGACGGUACCAGCAGAAGAAGCCCCGGCUAACUCCGU